RNAcentral lists this ribosomal RNA (581 nucleotides) under uncultured bacterium. Its description in RNAcentral is "bacterial SSU rRNA". It matches the Rfam family "Bacterial small subunit ribosomal RNA", at positions 102 to 679 of the family's 1533-position model. The record is from RNAcentral.
ACGGGUGAGUAAUGUCUGGGGAUCUGCCCGAUAGAGGGGGAUAACCACUGGAAACGGUGGCUAAUACCGCAUAACGUCGCAAGACCAAAGAGGGGGACCUUCGGGCCUCUCACUAUCGGAUGAACCCAGAUGGGAUUAGCUAGUAGGCGGGGUAAUGGCCCACCUAGGCGACGAUCCCUAGCUGGUCUGAGAGGAUGACCAGCCACACUGGAACUGAGACACGGUCCAGACUCCUACGGGAGGCAGCAGUGGGGAAUAUUGCACAAUGGGCGCAAGCCUGAUGCAGCCAUGCCGCGUGUAUGAAGAAGGCCUUCGGGUUGUAAAGUACUUUCAGCGGGGAGGAAGGCGGUGCGGUUAAUAACCGCGCCGAUUGACGUUACCCGCAGAAGAAGCACCGGCUAACUCCGUGCCAGCAGCCGCGGUAAUACGGAGGGUGCAAGCGUUAAUCGGAAUUACUGGGCGUAAAGCGCACGCAGGCGGUCUGUUAAGUCAGAUGUGAAAUCCCCGGGCUUAACCUGGGAACUGCAUUUGAAACUGGCAGGCUUGAGUCUUGUAGAGGGGGGUAGAAUUCCAGGUGUAGC